Molecule: unclassified non-coding RNA, 244 nt
Filed under: uncultured fungus
Lineage: Eukaryota; Fungi
Description: partial contains 5.8S ribosomal RNA, internal transcribed spacer 2, and large subunit ribosomal RNA
Rfam family: 5.8S ribosomal RNA (bases 1-52)
Source: RNAcentral
AACGCACAUUGCGCCCCUUGGUAUUCCGAGGGGCAUGCCUGUUCGAGCGUCAUUACACCACUCAAGCUCGGCUUGGUAAUGGGUCUUCGCCCCCGGGCGUGCCUAAAAGUUAGUGGCGAUGCCGCCUGGCUUCAAGCGUAGUAAUCAUCUGUUUCGCUUUGGAAGUCUGGCGUGACGUUGGCCAACCAAAACCCCCAAUUCAAAGGUUGACCUCGGAUCAGGUAGGGAUACCCGCUGAACUUAA